RNAcentral lists this ribosomal RNA (232 nucleotides) under uncultured bacterium. RNAcentral's name for it is "partial 16S ribosomal RNA". It matches the Rfam family "Bacterial small subunit ribosomal RNA", at positions 102 to 334 of the family's 1533-position model. The record is from RNAcentral.
ACGGGUGAGUAACACGUAUCCAACCUGCCGUCUACUCUUGGACAGCCUUCUGAAAGGAAGAUUAAUACAAGAUGGCAUCAUGAGUCCGCAUGUUCACAUGAUUAAAGGUAUUCCGGUAGACGAUGGGGAUGCGUUUCAUUAGAUAGUAGGCGGGGUAACGGCCCACCUAGUCUUCGAUGGAUAGGGGUUCUGAGAGGAAGGUCCCCCACAUUGGAACUGAGACACGGUCCAA